RNAcentral lists this long non-coding RNA (798 nucleotides) under Pan troglodytes (chimpanzee). Its description in RNAcentral is "lincRNA". Lineage: Eukaryota; Metazoa; Chordata; Mammalia; Primates; Hominidae. The record is from RNAcentral.
AUAGAUCAUUCACCUCCAUAUCACCUAAAAGAAGAAAGUUAAAGGCAGCAGUAUAUUUAUUUGCUGAGGGUUGUCACCGUGUUCCCUUUCCUUGCUGUGAGUGAGUGGAAGGAAGCUGCAAGAAGACCACUCACAGAGCUUGGCAUAUGCCCAUUAGUAUUCGGAGGAGGAAGCGACUGGUACCUGAUGCCUACCUGAAAAUGUCUAAUGGGAAAGAUCUGGCCAACCACUCUGAAGGCAGAGCAAGAGGAGUGUACUACAUUCAGAGGAAGCCACUCUUCUACCAAAAGCAAGGACAAGGCCCCUAGGCAGAAGGACUUCCUUUGUCUCAGAUGGGACUUUGGACUUGGACUUUUGGGUUAAUGCUGGAAUAAAUUAUGACUUUGGAGGACUGUUGGGAAGGCAUGAUUUGCUUUAAAAUGUGAAAGAGACAUGAGAUUUGACAGGGGCCAGGGCUGGAAUGACAUGGUUAGGGUUUGUGUUUCCACCUAAAUCUCAUCUUGAAUUAUAAUCCCCAUAAUCCCCAUAAUGCCCACAUGUCAAGGCAGAGACCAGGUGAAGAUAAUUGGAUGAUAGGGACAGUUUCCCUCAUGCUGUUCUCAUGAUAGUGAGUGAAUUCUCACAAGAUCUAAUGGUUUUAUAAGUGUUUGGUAGUUCCUCUUGCAUUCAUUCUCCUUCCUGCUGCCUGUGAGAAGGUGCCUUGCUUCCCCUUUGCCUUCCACCAUAAUCGUAAGUUUCCUGAGGUCUCCCAAGCCAUGUGCAACUGUGAGUCAAUUAAACCUCUUUCCUUUAUAAACU